RNAcentral lists this long non-coding RNA (672 nucleotides) under Capra hircus (goat). RNAcentral describes it as "lncRNA (ENSCHIG00010012051.1)". Lineage: Eukaryota; Metazoa; Chordata; Mammalia; Artiodactyla; Bovidae. The record is from RNAcentral.
AUGCCGGGCGGAGGAAAGGCAAGGAGAGUCCGGCCCGUUAGUCCCGGGGAGUCGGCAGCUCCCAAGCGCCAAGAACCCGGCAACAGAAGUACCAAGAGGAAGGGAAACCGGCCCGCGCUGACAUAUACGUUCAUUAAUGUCUUUUCCAGCCUCAGUCAAACUUUUUUUGGGGGGCGGAAGAGUUUACUGGGGCUAAGGAUAACUUGGAGCCUACCGCCCGGGAAGAUCCGGACGCAGACCGAAGGCGACCGACCAUUCGAAAGUGCAUCCAAUGGUUACCUUGUCCACGCUCUCCAGACCACGCUUUGGACUUUCUCACUUUUAUUUAAGAGUCCAUCCGGAGAAGGAGGGGAAAAAAUCCAGAGGAGAUCCGAAUCAGUUGGAAAGAAAAAAUUUCAAAAGGGUGUCCACAGCGACGAAAAAGCCCAGACUUUGCCGACCUUCAAACGACAACAAGGCUUUCAGGAGGGCGCGAGGAGACCGCUUCCCACCCAGAUCCGACCAGAAAACCGGCACCCUCGGCCACAUUCCCCCUCUUGCAGGCAGAGAGAACGCCACUCUACCACCGGAGGCCCCCUUCCUGGCGCUGGGCAAACACUCAGGCCCUUAAUGGCCACCGCAGGCCAGCCAGCGGCUCCCCUUUCUACACUCAGUCCUCCCCCCAGUACUUGA